This 464-nucleotide ribosomal RNA is filed under the name Vreelandella stevensii. RNAcentral's name for it is "partial 16S ribosomal RNA". It matches the Rfam family "Bacterial small subunit ribosomal RNA", at positions 338 to 795 of the family's 1533-position model. The record is from RNAcentral. Lineage: Bacteria; Pseudomonadati; Pseudomonadota; Gammaproteobacteria; Oceanospirillales; Halomonadaceae.
CCUACGGGGGGCAGCAGUGGGGAAUAUUGGACAAUGGGGGCAACCCUGAUCCAGCCAUGCCGCGUGUGUGAAGAAGGCCCUCGGGUUGUAAAGCACUUUCAGUGAGGAAGAACGCCUGGUGGUUAAUACCCAUCAGGAAAGACAUCACUCACAGAAGAAGCACCGGCUAACUCCGUGCCAGCAGCCGCGGUAAUACGGAGGGUGCGAGCGUUAAUCGGAAUUACUGGGCGUAAAGCGCGCGUAGGUGGCUUGAUAAGCCGGUUGUGAAAGCCCCGGGCUCAACCUGGGAACGGCAUCCGGAACUGUCAAGCUAGAGUGCAGGAGAGGAAGGUAGAAUUCCCGGUGUAGCGGUGAAAUGCGUAGAGAUCGGGAGGAAUACCAGUGGCGAAGGCGGCCUUCGGGACUGACACUGACACUGAGGUGCGAAAGCGUGGGUAGCAAACAGGAUUAGAUACCUAGUAGUC